GUCUUGCAGAUGGAAGUUGUAGUUAGGGUGGCGAGACCACUGUGUGGCAGGAGCAAGACAGACCCAGGCCUGAGUGGCUUCCCGGUCGGCCUCUUUGAACUGUUCCUGUUCCUUGGGGACAGGGAGGAGAAGGGACAUGGCUCAGGAAGUAGGCCCCUCUGACCCUGAGGCUCUUAGUGAGGGUGGGAAGAGUAGAGACUUGACUUCUCUGGGAGGGGGGUCUUCAGCCUCCAGCCCUGCCUGGCUGGCCUCGUGACCACCCACAUCCUGCCCUUU
Molecule: long non-coding RNA, 276 nt
Filed under: Homo sapiens (human)
Lineage: Eukaryota; Metazoa; Chordata; Mammalia; Primates; Hominidae
Description: non-protein coding lnc-TIGD3-3:1
Source: RNAcentral